AACGAACGCUGGCGGCAUGCCUAACACAUGCAAGUCGAACGAGACCUUCGGGUCUAGUGGCGCACGGGUGCGUAACGCGUGGGAAUCUGCCCUCAGGUUCGGGAUAACUCAGGGAAACUUGAGCUAAUACCGGAUGAUGUCUUCGGACCAAAGAUUUAUCGCCUAAGGAUGAGCCCGCGUCGGAUUAGCUUGUUGGUGAGGUAAAAGCUUACCAAGGCGACGAUCCGUAGCUGGUCUGAGAGGAUGAUCAGCCACACUGGGACUGAGACACGGCCCAGACUCCUACGGGGGGCAGCAGUGGGGAAUAUUGGACAAUGGCCGCAAGCCUGAUCCAGCAAUGCCGCGUGAGUGAUGAAGGCCUUAGGGUUGUAAAGCUCUUUUACCCGGGAUGAUAAUGACAGUACCGGGAGAAUAAGCUCCGGCUAACUCCGUGCCAGCAGCCGCGGUAAUACGGAGGAGCUAGCGUUGUUCGGAAUUACUGGGCGUAAAGCGCAC
RNAcentral lists this ribosomal RNA (495 nucleotides) under uncultured bacterium. RNAcentral's name for it is "bacterial SSU rRNA". It matches the Rfam family "Bacterial small subunit ribosomal RNA", at positions 28 to 570 of the family's 1533-position model. The record is from RNAcentral.